Molecule: long non-coding RNA, 526 nt
Organism: Magnolia sinica
Lineage: Eukaryota; Viridiplantae; Streptophyta; Magnoliopsida; Magnoliales; Magnoliaceae
Exons: 3
Source: RefSeq, a predicted model, not a curated record
GGAACAGUUGCACUUGGUGGUUUAAAUACUUCAAGGUAAGUGAACCUUUUUGCAUCCUACCCAAAGAUCUCAGAUUUCCAUUAAAGCACCUUUCUUAAAAUUCAGAUCUGCUAUAUGAUGCUUGAUUGAAAGAAAUGAAAUUUUCUUGUUUGGCCCAGCACUGUACUGUUGGGGCUCAACUUUGUGUAGGCCUUAACACUUUAUCAGUAUGUCAAGGCUACACAUAUCAACAAGGGUGUUGAUAUUCACAGGCAGAAAGACAUGGACCACCCGGUCUUUGUCGAGGUUGGAAAUGUCAGGAUGAUCAUGAGGGCGAACCUUGUGACGCAGGAUGGUUAGAGAUGGGGCUUGAUUUGUUCCUUUGUCAUCUUGAAUUUUGAAUUUUGAUUUGAUGGGUAUCUUGUUUUGAAUCAGAUCUGUUGUUUAUGUUCUCGUCUAUACCGCGGGAUCUUAAUUUCAUUACUCACAUGAGCAACAUCGGAUGGAAGGAAUUUCAAAGGACGAAGCCUAUUAUCAUCGAUCCAGG